This 427-nucleotide ribosomal RNA is filed under the name uncultured bacterium. RNAcentral describes it as "partial 16S ribosomal RNA". It matches the Rfam family "Bacterial small subunit ribosomal RNA", at positions 355 to 774 of the family's 1533-position model. The record is from RNAcentral.
UGGGGAAUAUUGGACAAUGGGGGCAACCCUGAUCCAGCCAUGCCGCGUGUGUGAAGAAGGCCUUUUGGUUGUAAAGCACUUUAAGCAGUGACGAAGACUCCAUGGUUAAUACCCAUGGACGAUGACAUCAGCUGCAGAAUAAGCACCGGAUAACUCUGUGCCAGCAGCCGCGGUAAUACAGAGGGUGCAAGCGUUAAUCGGAAUUACUGGGCGUAAAGCGAGCGUAGGUGGCUUGAUAAGUCAGAUGUGAAAGCCCCGGGCUUAACCUGGGAACGGCAUCUGAUACUGUUAGGCUAGAGUAGGUGAGAGGAAGGUAGAAUUCCACGUGUAGCGGUGAAAUGCGUAGAGAUCUGGAGGAAUACCGAUGGCGAAGGCAGUCUUCUGGCAUCAUACUGACACUGAGGUUCGAAAGCGUGGGUAGCAAACA